UUCAUCAUCUGUACAAUUUGUGAACACUGUAAUUUUAACCAUAGCUGUUCACUUAAAAAAAUUUCUAAACCAAUAAUUUUAUUUUUUUCCUUAACCCAUUCAAUAUGACAGUUGACUGUGGACAUGCCAUAUGUGGAAUGGAUCCAUUGUAUCUAAAAUGUUGAACUGAGGGUACACUUGAAAUUCAGACCAGCCACAGUGAAUGAUUUGUUUAUGAUUUUAACAAACAAGAAGACAAGCAGCCAGAUGUUUUCCACACCAAAAGAAGCACAGAUAAUGGAGAUAAUGGGAGCCUUUGUAAACCGUGACUUCAGUUACAUUCAACCAUAAAGUUCUUCAGACAUUGAGCACUUCAGCUCUGUAGAAGUUGUCAUCACCCUUGCAGAAAGCAGCGACUCUCUGACCUGGCUGAAUAGGCUGCCUACAAUCUUCGAUCUGCUUGCAUACCACUUGGCUGGAAAUGAAGAAUAAUAAAAUAGUGUAUAGGUACAGGAAUACUUCGCUAUUCACAACCCCAUUUAUCUGCAAUUAAUAUUUUAACACCCCUAUUAGGUAUUCGCAAAGCAUACCCUUCUUAUUUGUAAAUGAAAAAUUAUGAUACCUACAGUAAUACAGUACCUGUACUAUAUUUCAAACCGGGUGGCUAGCCACAGCUUUCAAAUUUUGAAGA
Long non-coding RNA from Homarus americanus (American lobster), 670 nucleotides. RefSeq lists it as uncharacterized. The record is from RefSeq and is a predicted model, not a curated record. Lineage: Eukaryota; Metazoa; Arthropoda; Malacostraca; Decapoda; Nephropidae. The transcript has 3 exons.